This 837-nucleotide long non-coding RNA is filed under the name Theobroma cacao (cacao). RNAcentral describes it as "long non-coding RNA (TCAC_LNC005134)". Lineage: Eukaryota; Viridiplantae; Streptophyta; Magnoliopsida; Malvales; Malvaceae. The record is from RNAcentral.
CUGUUUACUCUCCACCUCCCCCUCCACCUUCACCUCCACCCCCACCACCUGUUUAUUCUCCACCUCCCCCUCCACCCUCACCUCCACCACCAAUUUAUUCACCUCCACCACCCCCGCCCUCACCUCCACCUCCUUCACCACCGCCACCUCCUCCACCAGUUUAUUCCCCACCACCUCCACCACCAUCCCCACCCCCACCAUCACCUCCCCCACCUCCGCCACCACCACCACCUACUUAUCCGUCACCCCCACCCCCUUCACCAACUUCAUCACCUCCAUAUUGCGUGAGGUCCCCACCUCCUCCGCCACCAAAUUCACCACCUCCACCACCUCCAUUGUUUUCCCCACCACCACCAGUUCCUUACUACUAUAGCUCCCCACCACCGCCCCAUUAUUCACCGCCACCACCACUACACUCUCCACCACCACCGCCACAUUCACCUCCACCACCAAUUUAUCCAUACUUAUCGCCGCCGCCACCACCUCCUGUUUAUUCCCCACCUCCUCCAGUCCAUUCUCCACCACCACCUUCACCUCCGCCAUGUAUAGAACCACCUCCACCUCCACCUCCAUGUGUAGAGUACUCUCCACCACCUCCAUCACCACCACCCCCUAUUCAUUACAAGCCACCCCCAUCACCUUCCCCUCCACCACCACCGGUUGUAACAUAUUCCUCACCACCACCACCACCACCAGUUCAUUACCAUUCACCUCCCCCAACAUCACCGCCACCACCAGUCCCAUGUGAAAACCCACCACCAUCGCCGCCGCCACCACCGCCAAUUGUUUAUGAGAGCCCUCCACCGCCAGCUCCUGUGUAUGAGGGGCCAUUGCCAC